UACGGGAGGCAGCAGUGGGGAAUAUUGCACAAUGGGCGAAAGCCUGAUGCAGCUAUGCCGCGUGUAUAAAGAAGGCCUUAGGGUUGUAAAGUACUUUCAUCGGGGAGGAAAAAACAAAACUAAUAAUUUUAUUUCUUGACGUUACCCGAAAAAGAAGCACCGGCUAACUCCGUGCCAGCAGCCGCGGUAAUACGGAGGGUGCUAGCGUUAAUCAGAAUUACUGGGCGUAAAGAGCACGUAGGUGGUUUUUUUAAGUCAGAUGUGAAAUCCCUGGGCUUAACCUGGAACUGCAUUUUGAAACUGAAAUACUAGAGUAUCGUAGAGGGAGGUAGAAUUCUAGGUGUAGCGGUGAAAUGCGUAGAUAUCUGGAGGAAUACCUGUGGCGAAAGCGGCCUCCUAAACGAAUACUGACACUGAGGUGCGAAAGCGUGGGGAGCGAAACAGGGAUUAGAUA
RNAcentral lists this ribosomal RNA (454 nucleotides) under uncultured bacterium. RNAcentral's name for it is "bacterial SSU rRNA". It matches the Rfam family "Bacterial small subunit ribosomal RNA", at positions 340 to 784 of the family's 1533-position model. The record is from RNAcentral.